AGCAGCCGCGGUAAUUCCAGCUCCAAUAGCGUAUAUUAAAGUUGUUGCAGUUAAAAAGCUCGUAGUUGAAUUUCGGGGUCAGUAGGUUGGUCGUGCCACUGGUAUGCACUGGUCUCACUGAUUCCUCCUUCCUGAUGAACCGUAAUGCCAUUAAUUUGGUGUUGCGGGGAAUCUGGACUGUUACUUUGAAAAAAUUAGAGUGUUUAAAGCAGGCUAACGCUUGAAUACAUUAGCAUGGAAUAAUGAAAUAGGACGAUCGAUCCUAUUUUGUUGGUUUCUAGGAUUGACGUAAUGAUUAAUAGGGAUAGUUGGGGGCAUUAGUAUUCAAUUGUCAGAGGUGAAAUUCUUGGAUUUAUUGAAGACUAACUACUGCGAAAGCAUUUGCCAAGGAUGUUUUCAUUAAUCAAGAACGAAAGUUAGGGGAUCGAAGACGAUCAGAUACCGUCGUAGUCUUAACCAUAAACUAUGCCGACUAGGGAUCGGAUGAUGUUAAUUUUUUAAUGACUCAUUCGGCGUCCG
RNAcentral lists this ribosomal RNA (519 nucleotides) under uncultured Glomus. RNAcentral describes it as "SSU rRNA". It matches the Rfam family "Eukaryotic small subunit ribosomal RNA", at positions 569 to 1089 of the family's 1831-position model. Lineage: Eukaryota; Fungi; Glomeromycota; Glomeromycetes; Glomerales; Glomeraceae. The record is from RNAcentral.